This 1162-nucleotide long non-coding RNA is filed under the name Chrysemys picta bellii (western painted turtle). Its description in RNAcentral is "lncRNA (ENSCPBG00000025994.1)". Lineage: Eukaryota; Metazoa; Chordata; Testudines; Emydidae. The record is from RNAcentral.
CUAGUCUGCAGACCCAAUGCAGCAGAGAGCCAGGGAUGCACUUCUUUGGCAGGUACCAAAAUGUAUUCACUUUCCCAGAUUUCCAUUCCUGUGCUCACCAGCUCUCACGAAAGGACAGUGGCAGAUGGCUCUGACGUGCGUCGGGCUUACACCCAGCAGGCAGGAAGCUGAUUGAACAGAUCCUCUGCCAGCUAAUGUCAGCCAGUGCCACUUCACAACCGGCCACGCCUCUCCCCGCUCCCCUACACAGCCAGCUUGGUGAGGGCUGCUGGCAAAAACAACAGAUGAAACCCCCAUGGAUCCCUGUUCCCCAGAGUGCUCCUCCGCGGCGUUAGCGGCACACCUCACGAGUUCUAAGAGGGCGGCUGUGCCCCACUCUGAUGGGGUUCAGAGACUCAGUCAGCAGGAACCUCCAUGGCCAUUUGCAGCACCAUUUUGUCGGGGGAUUAUGCCAUGCACGGCAGCUGCUCCCCAUUCUGGGUGGCCUGGUGUCUCUUGGCUGUAUGAUCUUCCUGACGCAUCUGGGAUACUGCUGCGUAGCUACAUGGGCCCUGGAAAGCCCGCCCAGGCCUCUCUCGAUCGGAAUUACAGCCGGGAAUGUUGAUUCUCCAUCCAAAUUCACCGAAGAGCAUAAGAUAAUGCUUUUUACCCAAUAUUCUGGUUUGGGCAGAAGCGGAAGGGAGGAAGAGCGAGAAAACAAAACGGCCAUUUACAGCAAUUGUUGAUCAUGAAAAAAGUCAGUGGCUUGUUACCCAGUGGCUUCUGAGGCUGCAGAAUUCACAGGAAAUACCCCAGUCCCGGGAAUUAUUUGUGAGUGCUAAACAUCUGCAUGGUGAAAUGGUGAGGUCUGCAUCAUUAGUGGUGUUACAGAAGCUCCUACAGGGCCCAGCAGAGAUCAGGGCUCUGGUGUGCUAGGUACUGUACAUACAUUGUAGUACCAGAUAGUCCCUGCUCUGAAGAGUUUACAGUCCAACCUGAGGAAACAGAGGCACAUGCCCACAGUCAGCCAAUGGCAGGGCUCGGAUGAGACCUUGGUCUCUGGAGUCCUAGCCCACUAAACCACACCUUAGCAGCCCUCUCCAAGAGAGGACAUGCCAGGGCCUAGCAGACGUGCCUCUCAGUGCAGGUUUCACCAGAUGUGGAAAGGAGCAAGCCAGAGAAC